RNAcentral lists this non-coding RNA (219 nucleotides) under Desulforamulus ferrireducens. RNAcentral's name for it is "Desulfotomaculum ferrireducens T-box sequence". It matches the Rfam family "T-box leader". Rfam says of the family: Uncharged tRNA acts as the effector for transcription antitermination of genes in the T-box leader family. Lineage: Bacteria; Bacillati; Bacillota; Clostridia; Eubacteriales; Peptococcaceae. The record is from RNAcentral.
UAAUCGGCUAUGAUGGAGCUAGUAAAAAUCCGUUAACCUGACAGAGAGUGGGAUUCGUCGGCUGUGAGAUCCCUCAGGUUAUAGAUUUUGAAACCCACUCCGGAGCUGUUCGGGAUUUUAACCGAACCGGUGGCCCCCGAUACAGGGCGCAAAGUGAAUGCAUAGUUUUCUAUGCAUUAAUAAAGGUGGUACCACGAAAGUUUCCCUUUCGUCCUUUGG